CCCUACGGGGUGCAGCAGGCUUGGGGGUGGAUUUACCAAUCUCGACGCCAUCUGGGAACAUGGUGAUUUCAUUGGGUGGGGGUGUAAAUCAGGUGGCGGUCAUCAGCUUGAAUGGUAUUGUAGCCGGCGAAUCCUCAAGAACCGGUGGGCAGGUCCUGGAUGAGGCACUCAUCACUUAUGUGCGGAAGCGAUUUGGCGUCAUUAUAGGGCAGCCGACUGCCGAAUUGAUUAAAAUAAAAAUUGGUUCGGCAAUUCCUCAGGAUCAACAACUUUCCAUUGCAGUUCAGGGGCAGGAUCAAAUGACAAGUUUUCCGCUACCGGUAAUAGUAGCCACGGAGGAUGUCGUCGAGGCAUUGCAAGAACCAAUGGAAGACAUUGUGAAAUUAACGCGCAAAGUUAUGGAAAAAACACCCCCAGAAUUAAUCUCGGAUAUUAUUGACCGGGGAGCAGCAAUGUGUGGCGGGGGGGC
This 469-nucleotide ribosomal RNA is filed under the name uncultured prokaryote. RNAcentral describes it as "partial 16S ribosomal RNA". The record is from RNAcentral.